Molecule: long non-coding RNA, 1042 nt
Filed under: Dromaius novaehollandiae (emu)
Lineage: Eukaryota; Metazoa; Chordata; Aves; Casuariiformes; Dromaiidae
Description: lncRNA (ENSDNVG00000007545.1)
Source: RNAcentral
AGAAGAAUGGAUUUGCAUGUUCCCAUUCAGUUGCUCUUAACUUCAGACAUAAGUAUUCCAGUUUUUUGAGUGCCGGACUACUAGUUUCUAUGAUAGGGCUGCCAUAUGCUUCUUUUCCUAGUCUCUGGUGAGUUACAAGGGUGUGUGCUGCCUCUGUGGUUCAAAGAAGACACUGUAUAAAAAUGGCUAAAUGCUCAUGUUCCCCACUUUCCCCUGUGCCUGCUGUAAGGGUUCAGGCAUAGGACAGGAAGUGAGCAAGAAGGCGAGGUAGGGGGUAGGGCUUACCAGGUGGCCUGCCACAGGUGUUCUGCAUAGCAGGCAGGAGUAGAGAUGCUGGGCUGUAAGGGAGGCAGCUUGACUAUGGGCAGUCCAGCAGUAACCCCAAGCCAGAAGAUCACUUUUUGUUUUGCUUGGUGUCAGCUCCUGAGGCGAGCAUCUUGGAGACCUAGCAAGAUGAGCCCUGCAGCCAAAUUCUGUCUGUCUACUGAGAAUGCGAGAGGCAUUUGUACAGCUCCUGGUAUGGCUGGCAGUAUCUGAGACUCUUGCAACCUUCCAACGUAUGCCGCUGUAAAGCUGAAAGGUGACUUUAUUGCAGUUUUUAUACAAAGAAAGAGCAGAAAUGCAUCAAAGGUAAAGGAUAAAAUCCAUGGCAGCCGUGGUCAUUUAUUUUUGUCUGAUCUAUACCCAGUGUAUGCUUCAGCUGUACACACUACUUAGGUGGUGGUUUGUGUUUUUUUUUUGUUUUGUUUUUUUUUUUUGUUUUUUUUGGUUGGACACUUUCAGCUUGUGCUUAUAUGAUGAGAAGAAAGAAGAAACACAAACUGGUUCUCUAGUGUCAAGACCCAGGAAUUUCGAGUGUUUCAAUUGGUUGCAGAGGCAAUUAAGCACCUAAAUCCCUUUUGAGAUGAGGUCAUGCCAGUUCUUUCCAUAACAAGAGUGUAUAUUGUUUAUUCCUGCUUUUCAUACAACUGCCAUUUUUUUAAUCAUCUGUUGGCUCAAAUAACUAAGGCUAAUAAUAAACCUCUCUUGUUUUAUUGCUACA